This 5178-nucleotide long non-coding RNA is filed under the name Mytilus galloprovincialis (Mediterranean mussel). The record is from RNAcentral. Lineage: Eukaryota; Metazoa; Mollusca; Bivalvia; Mytilida; Mytilidae.
CUGAAGAAAAUAUGGCUGAACAUUGAUGAAUGAGGAUAUUUGUUAUCAACUUUACCAGUAUAUAUGAAUAAAAACACUAACCGUAAGUAAAAUGCACUCAAUCCAAAUAAUUUUACAAAAUGAAAAAUCUGUAUCGUUAGGUCGAAGAAUUCAAUUCUGGCAUGAAAACUCGAUCGACUUUGUUGCAUUAUUUAUGCCAUAUAAAAAAAUCUUCGUCAAUGAAGAAACAUAAAAUAUGAUCUUCUCGUCUGUGAAGUUGAAAGAACACUUAACGCUAUAUAGCUUUUGAUAUUAAAUUGGACAUACUUUUAAUGAACUGGCACCCAAUCAUCAGCUAAUAAACUCGUUUGAAGAACAGAAUAAAAUGUUGGGAGAGUGGCUAAAUUUUACCCGAGAAGCUGCUCCAUGUGGAAUUAAAGAUAUUUUACAAAAGACAAAUUUGGACUCUAUAGGGAUAAAUUUUGGAUUUCCUGGACUGCAAAUAAUGCAAAUUGGGAUUUAAAUUUAGGAUUUCCUAUUUGGGAAAUUGGGGUGCAAAUGACAAUGCCAAAUUGACAAAUACAUGAUGCUUCACAAUACAUUACAUUUAAACGAACUUCAGUAUAGGGUAUAACAUUGAUAUUACAAUGUAUGUUAUAUUAUAUUAAGACUCUGUUUACUUACCAAUCUCCGAAUUUCUCAAAACUCAAUUUAGAUUUCAUGGAUAAAAAAAAUAAAACAAUCAUAAAUUAUUAUAAUUGAAAAAUAAUAUAGGUAACGUAACACACACAUUACUAAAUUUGUUAUGCAAUUUGCUUUUUUAUAUAUAUGUCACCAUGGUCAUGUAUGUAUUAAUUUACAAUAUUCUGGAUGGGAGCAUUUCCAUUUCGAUAUUACUAUAUUUUAUUGAAUUAUUAUCCAGUCAAUUUAUAGUCUAUACAAUAAUAAUAAUUACCCCCCCCCCCCCCAAAAAAAAAAAAGUAAAAUCUUUAUAAUUUUGGUCCAAUUAUUCUGUAUUCUAUUUACCCUUUAAGAACCACAUUUAGGCCAAAUAAAUAAAUAUGUGUGUUUCCUAUUUCCCUCUGUACUAAACCCUAUAUGUUUUAAGCUUGGAAAUAGCUGCCUACCUUAAAGUUUUUUUUUGUAAUUUUUCAAUAAGCACUGUUUAAGUCAGAAUAUCUCUCCCUUAGACUCAAUGUAAAAAAAAAAUGUUGAAUUACAUAAAUUCCCUACCUACCUACCAUUUAUUUUCAAAGAUGUAAUAGGAAACACACACAGUAUUUUAUUUGGCCUUAGCCCUUAUAUAUACAAUGUACAUGUACUCUUAAUAAACCUUUUAUUCCUGCAAUAAAAAACACUUUUGACUAUAAUUCUAAGACGCCAGUAAUCAAUUCUAAUGUUUUUAUUUUUAUCUUACAGAUGGUGACAAAAAAGAUAACAGCACAGUGUUAAGAUUGAAUCAGAAUGAAUAAAACAAAAAGAUUAUAAUAGGUAUUGGUUUUUUUUUUAAAUAUUUUUAUUUGCAUGGAUUAAUUACUUUAUCAAUUUAUAAAAAAAAUACUAUUUAAUUAUCCUGCCUUGCAUGGAAUAAAAUGACAACUUACAUUGUUCUAAAAAAAAAAUGUUUGUAAAUAAUGAGUAAAAUUAAUGCUCAAUAACAAUGUUUAAAAUGUUAACAUGAAAACUGAUUUUGAUUUGAAGCCAUAUUUUAUGAAAUUGAUUAAUGUAGACAAAUCUUUUUUAUAGUUACAAAUGUAGGUGACACUUAAACACUCAAUAUCUUUCUUUAAUUAGUAUAGUAGGAUGAUACAGAUUGAUGCCUGUGAAAGAAUUAUAAAAAAGGUUGCAUUCAGUUUUUUAUUGUCAAUAAUACUUCCCUCCCCCUAUUUUUCAAACUUUUUAUAUGUUAAAUAAUGCAGGUCCUUGCAUUUCAACAAUUUAUUUUUAGUUAUACUCAUUUUAUUAUUUCAUUAUUACUUUCAGCUCCCUCAACCAGAAGAACUAUGAACACAGUUAUUGAUUUCUAUGUUUCCUUGGAGAUUUUAACAGUUAUUGUUAAAACUUGAAAUCUAACAGAAUGAAAAUUUGAGAAAAUUUACAUAUACAGUGUACAUGUACAUGUAGCUUCAAUAUAAAUCAACUGAUACACCGUAAGUAUGUCUUCUAUAUAUGAAAGUUAUAAAUUGGUUUGUUUACAAAAUUUAUUUUUUACUAGAUAUAUUUGAGUAAAUACCGGACCAAAUUAUAUAUUAAAGCAAAUACUCACAAACGUUUUUUUUUUUUAAAUUACUAAUAUUUCCUAUAUGGUGAUAUAAAUUAUAUGAUCAAAUUGUGGAUACAACUACAUGGUUUAUGCUAUAAACUGUGAAUAUAAAAAAAGAGUAUGUUGUAUGAUUGCCAAUGAGAAAACUCUUCCAACAAGAGACCAAAUGACAGAAGUUAACAACUGUAGCCUAUAGUAGGUCAUAGUACAGUCUUAAACAAUGAGUAAAGCCCAUACCACUCAGAGAGCUAUAAAAUACACUGAAAUGACAAAUGUGAAACAAUUAAAACUAGAAAUUUGGCCUAAUUUAUCAUACAUGUAUGUACAAAAUAAUGAACGAAAAACAAAUAUGUGACACAUCAAACAACAACCACUGAAUUAAAGGCUCCUGAUUUGGGACAGACACAGACAUACAUAAUGUAUCGGGUUAAACAUGUUCGCUGGGACCCAACCCUCCCCUUACCUGGGACAGUGGUGUAAGAGUACAAAAUACAAAAUAAAAACAAAACUUAAAUCUUAAAUAAAAAUCAUCAGAUAAAUAAAGAAAAAAAAGACAUUAACUUAAUACAUCUAUUAUUUACUCUACUCAACUGCCUAAAUCUGAUAAACUUUUGAAAGAGAAAAAAUUACUAAAGGGUUCAAAUUGUUCAAAGGUUCAAAGGAGAAGGGCAUUAAAGGACUAUUUUUUGUCCAAGAAUAUAAACUAUUCCAAAAAGCCCCAUUAUGUUUGGAAUUGCAUAAAUUUAAGAAACAUGAAUUAAAAACAUAAUAUUUUUUAUACGACCGCAAAAAUUAAAAAAUUUUUGGUCGUAUAUUGGUAUCACGUUGGCGUCUGCGUCGUCGUCGUCGUCCGAAUACUUUUAGUUUUCGCACUCUAACUUUAGUAAAAGUGAAUAGAAAUCUAUGAAAUUUUAACACAAGGUUUAUGAUCACAAAAGGAAGGUUGGGAUUGAUUUUGGGAGUUUUGGUCCCAACAUUUUAGGAAUUAGGGGCCAAAAAGGGCCCAAAUAAGCAUUUUCUUGGUUUUCGCACUAUAACUUUAGUUUAAGUAAAUAGAAAUCUAUGAAAUUUUGACACAAGGUUUAUGACCACAAAAGGAAGGUUGGGAUUGAUUUUGGGAGUUUUGGUUCCAACAGUUUAGGAAUUAGGGGCCAAAAAAGAGCCCAAAUAAGCAUUAUUCUUGGUUUUCGCACAAUAACUUUAGUAUAAGUAAAUAGAAAUCUAUGAAAUUUAAACACAAGGUUUAUGACCAUAAAAGGAAGGUUGGGUUUGAUUUUGGGAGUUUUGGUCCCAACAGUUUAGGAAUAAGGGGCCCAAAGGGUUCAAAAUUAAACUUUUUGUUUUGAUUUCAUUAACAAAAAUUGAAUCCUUGGGGUUCUUUGAUAUGCUGAAUCUAAAAAUGUACAGUAUUCAGCAAUAGCAAGAAAUCUUCAAUUGCACAGUAUUGUGCAAUAGCAAGAAAUUUUCAAUUGCACAGUAUUGCGCAAUAGCAAGAAAUCUUCAAUUGCACAGUAUUGUGCAAUAGCAAAUAUUUUCAAUUGCACAGUAUUGCGCAAUAGCAAGAAAUAUCUAAUUGCAAUUUCAAUUGGAGUUAUCUUUCUUUGUCCAGAAUAGUAGUUGAAUCAACUUAAAUCAUUGUUUUAUACAAUAUAUAUAAUUGAUAUUUCAAUUGGAGUUAUCUUUCUUUGUCCAGAAUAGUAGUUGAAUCAACUUAAAUCAUUGUUUUAUACAAUAUACAAUGUAUAUUCACUUUUACUACCAACUGAUAAAUUAAAACAAUCUUUACCAUUCAGUGAUAACAAGCACUUUAUUUUACAUUUUAAUAUUUUAUGAUGUAUUUAAAUGAGUAGUUAUUGUUGCAAACUCCAUUAUUAGAAAUUUGAAUUGAGAUCAGUUUUGGAAAAAGGGAAAGGGGGAUGUGAAAAAAAAAAUGGGGGGGGGGUUAAAUUUUUCUCAUUUCAGAUUUCAUAAAUAAAAAGAAAAUUUCUUCAAACAUUUUUUUGAGAGGAUUAAUAUUCAACAGCAUAGUGAAUUGCUCAAAGGCAAAAAAAAUAUUUUAAGUUCAUUAGACCACAUUCAUUCUGUGUCAGAAACCUAUGCUGUGUCAACUAUCUAAUCACAAUCCAAAUUUAGAGCUGAAUCCAGCUUGAAUGUUGUGUCCAUACUUGCCCCAACCGUUCAGGGUUCAACCUCUGCGGUCGUAUAAAGCUGCGCCCUGCGGAGCAUCUGGUUGUCUGAUAAGGUCACAAUUACAUCAUGAAGACGAGGACAAAUAUAGAAUUUAUGCAGUUUCCAAAACAACAAAAUAAUUUAAGAAAACCUUUAUUAUAACUAUUGACAUAAUCUCACUAAAUAUAAUUUUUUUCUUGGAUGGGCACAUUACAGUCUAAAAUAUAAUUUUAUUUGACAAAAAACAAAGAAAAUUAAGAAAUUUUACAAAUUUGGUCUAAGUUUAUUGCCAUGGUAACUCUUUAGUUGUAAAAAAAAACCCAUUAUUUUCUGAAUAUGGUGUACCUUAGUCUAGUUUGGACAAAUUUUGAAAUAUUUAGGAUAACUGUUAAAUUAGCAGUAAUAUCUGGGCCAAAUAAAAACCUUUUUUAGUUAGCCCCUACUACUUUGAGAUAUUGAACAAAGUGUUGCCAUAAUGAUUUUAAAGGAUGGAUGGACAAACAAUGGCAUACCAUAUACAUCCCUUACCUACCAGAAGUUACAAAGUUAUAAAAAAAAUGUUUAUAUAUUUUCAGAUCACAAUUAUGUCAACCUAAUCAUUGGAAGUUUAUCAAGUUACAUGAGAAGCAUUGAAAGCCUGCAGAGAUUCUACAUGUAUAAAUAAAUGGAAUAGACUCACACUUAAAAAUAACUUUUACACAAGACUAAUGCACUCUCAAACAAGGAUUAUUCAUGUUUCAAUGAGUGAAUUGAAGUGCAUACUAGCU